UUAACUCUAAUUUGUAUGAAGUUCGAACGUUUGCCGCUAAGGGCGCUGUUCCAACUCCAUACAAAUUUAAGUUA
Molecule: microRNA precursor, 74 nt
Filed under: Bombyx mori (domestic silkworm)
Lineage: Eukaryota; Metazoa; Arthropoda; Insecta; Lepidoptera; Bombycidae
Description: mir-2807 microRNA precursor family
Rfam family: mir-2807 microRNA precursor family
Source: Rfam by way of RNAcentral